RNAcentral lists this transfer RNA (64 nucleotides) under Cryptotermes secundus. RNAcentral describes it as "tRNA-Thr". It matches the Rfam family "tRNA". Rfam says of the family: Transfer RNA (tRNA) molecules are approximately 80 nucleotides in length. Their secondary structure includes four short double-helical elements and three loops (D, anti-codon, and T loops). Further hydrogen bonds mediate the characteristic L-shaped molecular structure. tRNAs have two regions of fundamental functional importance: the anti-codon, which is responsible for specific mRNA codon recognition, and the 3' end, to which the tRNAs corresponding amino acid is attached (by aminoacyl-tRNA synthetases). tRNAs cope with the degeneracy of the genetic code in two manners: having more than one tRNA (with a specific anti-codon) for a particular amino acid; and 'wobble' base-pairing, i.e. permitting non-standard base-pairing at the 3rd anti-codon position. Lineage: Eukaryota; Metazoa; Arthropoda; Insecta; Blattodea; Kalotermitidae. The record is from RNAcentral.
GUUUUAAUAAUUUAAUGAAAAUAUUGGUCUUGUAAACCAAAAAUAAGUAUGGCCUUUUAAAACU